CCUUUCAGAAUCCAAAACCAGAAACUCAACACUUAUCUCUUCAAGACCCUCACAAGGAAUAUCAAAGACAAACAGUUCAUUGAACACUGCAUUAGGGGUGCAUUUCUUCACAUGAGUCUUCUUUUUAGAGAUUCUCUUUUUGGCAUGGUACAGGUUCACUUUCACGUAGGGAUCUGCAAUGGUAAACAACGGACGUUACACUGGCAGAACCUGGCUGGAGAGUUGAUUUCAAUAUAAUGGUGCCCUUGGAGGUUACUGCGUGCCAAUAAAAUGAGAUUGCAGUGAAAAUGAGUCAGAACAAAGUGAAAACAUGGAUAUAGCUUGGCUUCUCUAUUGUCAACAAAUUGACAAUAAGAAUGUGAAUAUGAAGAGUAAACUGUUCUAAACCAGAGGAUGAGAACAGAAGUGCAAUGGCAGGAAGAUGAGAUAAUAUAGAGGAGAAGAAAACAAAAUAUUACAGAGGCACACUCUGAUUACUUGUAACUCAUUCCAGAAAAUAGGAUAGAAGAAAAAAACAUUAGACAAGAUCUAACCUUUCUGAGUUGUAUGACUUUGGAUAAGCCUCUCUACCUCUCUGCUUUUCUGUUGAACAGGCAUUUAGAAUUCACAAUGGCAAUGUCCUUUUUACUUUAAAUUUUGUGCUUCUUUAAUCACCUGCUGAGUUUGCUUCCUGUUUUUCAGAGUUGAUCUUCCUUUAAUAUGUGGAUUUUAGGAUCAUGCUACUUUUUCACACAUUUAAUUAUAUUCUUUUUGCCUCUUUCUGGUUGAAGCAUAUGAGUUCAUUUGAGCUUCCUAAUCUAAACAUUUAAGACAAUGUGUUCAACUGCCAUUAUUAAAUAAUAGCAAUAAUAAUAUUAAAAAUAAUAAUACAACUAGGUGAUAUUUAAUGAAGUAUAUCUUUCUUGUCCUCACAAUCUCUCUCAAGGUAAGUAUCAUUACUUAUUAGUUUGUGUAGAGAUUAUGAAACAUAGCCAAGGUUAUAUGCUAAAAUGGAAGGGUUAGGAUUUGAACUCAGAUCCUUUCAACCCAUAGGUCAUGUGUUCUUUUCACAAUGUGAUAUGAGGAAUUUUUUUAAUAGUCACAAAAACUAAGAGCUAAUUCUUCAAGAAGAUACAUAAGGAAUUAAAGGAAAAAUAAUAAAAAGAACACCAGAAGAAUAAGUGUAGGUUGGCUCAUUAAAAACACUAAAAUGAAGAACUCUUCUCCCAAACAAUUGCUAUAUUUUUGGCAAUGGCUUCUUACCUCUGCAUUUAUCACUGUUUUCUGCUUCAAACCCAUUCAAUCAGACAUCUAUCAUGUAUUAGCAAUGGCUUAGUUGGUAGAACUAUGUAGUUUUAUUUUUCUUGCUAAUGGCAUUGAAUCACAUCGUUAUUCCAUAAUGAGAAACAGGGAAAAACAAUCACAUCACUUGAAACUAUGAGUAAAAGGCAAAUCAAAUUCAUGUCAGAUGCUAUUUUGCCCAAUGUACUGUUCACUGACACUGAAUUUUUCAGAAGCAUUCUUACCUGAAAGUCCAGACACAUCAGAUUUAGGCAGGUGUCGAGCUUUUAAAACAACCACAGUGAGAGUAUUUGUAGUGGACUGAUAGCAGAGAGAGAUCAGUAACUCACCCCGUCCUGAAGACUUCUAAACAAAGAGAGAUGUGGUAUAAGUAUUCUCAUUAUUUUCUUGGGUUUGAAAUUUGUGCUUAUAGCAACAUUUUAAAGCAAUAUAAUAUUGCUAGUUUUAUGUAAUUUUCCUACUUAUUUUUAUUUUACUAUGCUAAGGAAUCUGAGUAACUGCAAGCUUUUGUGCAGUGCUACCACUUUCUAAAAACAGGUGGCUGCCAUCUUGUGGUGUUUUUAGGUACUACAGGUUGUUAAAAUUUGUAAUGAGUUAGCCACACCCAUUACUAGAAAUGUUUAAAGAUAUUUAGAGUAUAGCUUUUACAGAGGAUUUUUUUUUUACUUUUGCUUUUUAACUAAAUAAUUACUUUUUGAAGUUACUAAUAGUAAUGAAAAUUGUCUAUUCAUUUGAAAGGAUCUGUAUAGGGCAAAAUGACUCAUGUUAAGUUUGAUUUGAUUUCAAUUUUUUAAAAAACACUAACAUUACUGGAAUUUGAAUUCAGACUAACUGAAAUUUAUUCUGACUGCCACCACUCUCCUGACCCACAGGGCUGAUGGAAUUAAAAUUCUCUAUCCUCAGCCCCCACUCAAAGUCCUCAUUUAAUCCAAGGAAUGAAUUAAGUUUUGGAGGGAAUUGACUCAAUUUUUAAUACUUUGUUUUUGAAGAGUAUCAUAAGAUCCUUCUUUGUACACUACUUAGAUUUUAUUUGCACUUUAAAGACAUUAGCUAAGAUGACCAAGAACUCAAAGUACAAGUUUUAACUGAUGAAACAAAAUGAAAACUCAGAGCUGGAUUAUAACUAAGAAUGUGGCUGGCCAGAGCUCCUAACUCUUCAGUCUAUAUGCACAUGGGGUUAUUAUAUGAAUAAACAGUCCAAGUAGGAAUAGAUAUUUAUUCCUACUAUGCUGCUAAACAUCUGAGUGUCUCAAACAAGCUACUUAGCGUUUCUGAACUCUGACUUUUCAUUAAUUUCAACAAAGAAAUAAAGGUGAGCUUUACAGUAUUCUACAGAAUCUUUCUAAAAUAUUAUAGUUUAAAUCAAUUAAGUUCUAUAUUUAAAGGGGAUAUAGUAUUAAUUUGAUAUCUUAUAAUAGUCUCAGAACUACCAAAGCAGUAUACCUACAAAGGCAGAGUAACUCACUUCUUGUCAUACAACAUAGUCAUGGACAUUUAUAAUUCAAUAUGAUGUGAUGUCUCCUCCUUGAAAAGCAAUUCCAUGAAAAGUCAAUAUAACUUCCAAAUCCUCAGGACAAAUUGAUUUAAUUUUAUAUUUCAAUUUCAAUUUCAAAUUCAAUUAUGAAACAUCUUUGUUAACUUGCUUAUAAGAAAUAUUUGCCUGCAUUUUAGUUUAAGUGGCAGUCAAAAUACUUAAGAUAGAAAUUAACAAAAAUAUUUAUAUAAGUAUUCUUUAAAUAUCCACAAAGGAUGCCUAUUUAUUUGAUAUAAUUAAAAUACUUUAAACAUUUCAGCUGUGGGUUAAAUUUUCUUUCAUCUCCUCUAUUCCCUUGAUCCCCAUUUGAUUAUGAUUAAUAAUAAUUAAACAUGGUAAAGAUGAUAUGUAUAAAACUUAUCAUUUUAAUGAAAACCCCCUAGAUACAAAGAAGCUGAAUAAAAGAAUGUUUAUAAAUACUUUAAGCACUAAAAAUGAAUUACCCUAACAUUUCUCUUGAUGAUCUCUCUGUUCAUUAACAUUUUUCCAUCAGAUAAUUCAAUUCCUGCAAGAGGAAUAAGGACUUCUCCAAUGAUAUCAUCUCUUGAAAACCUGUCAAAACUCAAGAUUGUGAAGUGCAAGGCCAACUCUUGGAUCUGAGUAUAGAGGAUCCCAUAGAAUGUAAAGGUCUCAUCAAAAGCUGGGUCCAAGGUCUUUCUCAGAACUCUGGUUUUCACUUUAUGCUUCUUCUCUGGGAGGAUCGUCAUUUUGAUAUACGGGUCAGAGGUCAUCGACUGCUCAUCCAUGGCUGGCAAGCCACGGGCUUCCUUGAUAUUUACCACAAAUGCUUUCUUCUCAAAGUUGUACUCUAAGGAGAAGAAGAGGGUUCCCAGCUUCUCCUGUUUCUCUUCUGAAGUAAGGGAAGUGCUGGACUUUAAGCUAUCAGGGGAAACGGCUUCUUUCUCCCCUUCUGAAAAGAGCUUUGGGGUCACACUCUCCAGAUCAGAAGGGCUACUAGCUUUGAGGUUUGUUUUGGGAAAAUUGCCAUUGAGAUCUCUCUUCUCAAGGUCGAGAUGUAAUGAAUUCUUUGGCACAGCUGGCUUAUUCUUUACUUCGUUUUUGUCAUCUGCUCCAAACUUCUUCUUGCUACUUAGGUUUUCAGGAUAAAUAUCAACUCCUUUUAGUACAUGCACAAACUUAUAUGGAGGAGUCUUGUUAGACUUGGAUGAUUUUCUCUGACAGCAGAUCCAUGCAAACAGAGAGACUGUGAAGACCAGGCCAAAUGCACUGAAGAUCCCCACCACUGUGGGGAUUUCAUCUGAAAAAUCAAAUGACCAAUAACAUACAUUAAAGGAGCAGAGUUGGAGACAUGAGCCUAUUUGAAAAGCAUACUGGAGCUGGCAAAUGCUGUAGGCUGCACAGAUUGGAUUACUUUCCAACUCUUCUGGGUAUGAGUUAUGUACACAUUUCAUGUCACCUUCAGGAAUAAACACAUCCACUGUGUGACAUGCCGAAAAAAAUACUGUAUGACAGAAACUUCUUCAUUUCAGUUUUUUUUUUUCAUAAAUAAAAAGAAAAGAUGAAACAGGGCCUAGGUCGGGAUGGGGGAUGCUAAAUGACCCUGACCUACCUUUGUUUUCUCAGAUAACAUGAGUCAACUACAGCAUGGUAGGUCAGUACUAAUUUCAUUAUGUUUUCUUGACAUUUUGAGGCUUUCCAGAAGCAUCAAUUUUUACUGAUUAUGGAGCUCUAAAUACACAUUUUUGAAAUACUGGGAGAUUUUUUAUUCUUAGUAGUUCUUUAUUUAUCCCGGAUUCAAGAAGCAAACAUCUAAGGGCUCAGUGGUUCCAAUAAUUUUAAGAAAUGGAGGAACAUUAUCUGCUAUUGUCACAAACUUAUCAAUAAUUUCCAUCCCAAUUAUGAUAAGAGAAAUGUUACAUAUAUUAGGAAAAAAAGAACAAAAAAGAUGAACAACAGGAUAUUAAUAUUAUAUAACUUUUAACACUACAAACUCCUUGGAUACAGAUUCAUAAUUUCUCAAACACUGAAUUACCCAAAGAACAAAUUAAUUACACCUAAGUAGGAUAAAAACAAAACAAUGGUUAUGAAUGAAUCAUCGUUCCUUAACAUGUAAAGAGUGAGAAUAGAUAAUUUAGAGUUCAAUUUUAUCCAUAACUGAUUUUUUCUAACAUAUUUCCACAUGGCAAAUGGUAAUCAAAUUGAAUUUGGCAUUCUUUCUUGAAUGAGGGCACAUUAAAUUACUGACAUUAGGUAAUACUGAUUAUGCAUGAAGCUUAUCAUGUGCCAUAUGUAAGCAUAUUUCUCCAACAAAUGAUUAAUAACAGUGUGUAAGUAAAAGCAGUAUUGCUAUAUCUGGACACAGUGCAUCAAUUAAGUCAAUGUUUAAUAUAGUCAUAGUGAAUAUAACUAAUGUAGUAUUAUCUGCAUUUAGUUUCAUUCUUAUCUAUUUUUAUCCCAAAUAGUGAAUAAUAAAGUUAAAAGUCCCAGUUAGAAAAGGGUUAAGCCUUGUUUGAAUAACCCCUGAAAGAACAAUCUUUUGUUACUCCCCUCCCCCACCCCCCAAAUCUUCUGCCUACCUACUUCAUAAUUUCAAAACUGAACUCAAAGAAUAUAAGAACCAGCAAUGACAAAUAAGAGAAGACAUAGAUAACAAUAUUAAAAAACAAUAAUAAAAAUUCUAUAGUUUAAUUAUAUCAAGAAACAAUCAUGUAGAGAUGAAAAAUAAACCUUUGAAUUCCCCAAGUAGAAAACGCAGCAAAUGCUACAGAAAAAGAAUCAAACAAGAGCUAAAGAUAAUCAGCUAAACUUAGUAUCAGCUUUUCAGUUUUUUUCUUCUAUUCAAGUCUUUGUGUGUGGAGGGGGUGGGGGGGUGGCAGGGGAGAAUCCACUCCUGGACUCUAAUAAUCCAAGGCCAGGGAGCAAAACCAAAGUCAUGAACUAAGGCAAUUCUUUAGCCAAUGCUAGGAGAACAAUAAAAGCAAUAGAAAAUGAUCCUUCUUUUUUUUUUUUUCUUAAACAGACCAAUGGCCCAAGCUGAAACAUAUUUUUUACCAGCACAAUCUCUGAAAAUGCCUCGGUAUUAGAAAAUUUCUUAUUUUCAAAUCAGAAAUUGGGAAUACACAUCAUAAUAAUAUAAAUCAAUCACCCAAAUGGAAGCCUGUAAAGGAAACUCAUUUCUGAAUAUAAUGUCACAGAUUGUCCCUAUUUCAUACGUAAGUCACAAGGCAAAAUAUUCACUAAAUCAUGGAAAGACUCACCUACUCCUUGUAUGUUCUCUACCAAUGAGAUUUUAAGCUUCUGAGAGCAAAGACCUCAGUCAUUUCACUCAGUUAAAUAACAAUUAUCAUGGACUCAUAGAUAUCAUUCCUUAUUCACAAACUUCUAUAAAAUUUCUUGAUUUUUUGAAUACUUGUGAAGUAAGUAAAACUCUACCUCUUAUCUUUGGAAUAUAAUAUGACCUAAAAUACUACUUUUUAAUUUGAAGUACAUCUGUUUUUAUUUACUGAAAGAGAGAAGGAGAGCAAUGAUGCCAAAAAUUUGGUAUAGGAAAAGGGAAAUUGAACUGGAAAAUAGGAGUCCUAAUUCUACUUUCCAAAAGCUUUUCAUUAACUGUUUGACCUGAAAUACGUCCCUCAUCUCUCUGGGCUCUGGUUACCUCACCUGUGAAAUGCAAUGGGCCAAGCUAGUUCAUUUCAAAUACCACUCUAACACCCUAGCAUCAUAGGAUUCUGUGUUUUUCACUAGCAACAUAUUUCAAGAAUACAAGAAAAACAUAGCAGAGAAAAACAACCUUAUGGUACACUCUAUAAUAAAAUAUACAUUCCAAACCCUCAACAUAUAAGUUGUUUUAUGCCGAGAUCAAACCCUUAUGUAAUCACAGAAACAUUGGCUUCUCCUGGUAAGUUAAAUACAGAUUUACUUACAAAUAAAAAUCACCUACAGACUUAAUGAAACCAACUGCAAACAACAGACCCCCUUUCCUUUACUCAGAGCGUGCUGCAAUUUACAGAGCUACCCGAACAUUUAGGAACUUCUUGGAUGUAAAAUCUCCCUGGCAGACGGCAAUUUUUUUUGAGGAGAAAGAUAGGGAGGAAGGGAGAAACAACAGAUAAGCCACGAUUGCCCCUUUACAGUUCUCAUUUUCUUUUCAGAUUAACUACCUAGGAGAUCUAUAUCCAACAUCCCAUGGAAAAAUAAAAAUAACAACAACAACAACACAGCCCACCCCGGAGUAUUCAAGAAACAACCGCAGUUACAAGUUGAGUAACUUGCUUACCAAAUUCUUCCCGGCUGGUAGUGAUCGGAGCCAUUUUUUGCUGCGUGUUCUGUCCGAGGUGCUGAACGGAAAACUCCCUGGCUUGAUUCACUUGCCUGGAUCUGAAGCGCCGGCUUUCCCGAGUGCUGAAAACAACAGCGCAGAGCCCAGGGGACCUGCGCCUGGAACCGGGAGGAGGCAAAGGGGGGAGGGGGUGGUCCACUCGCCCUCGCACAGUGAUUUGCCACCCCUGUUCCUGUUUUGGCUCUUCUGAGAAGCUCGUCUCUGAGACUCUAGACGUGGCUGAAACCCGAAUUGACGCAAUCCUGACGCUACAGGGUUGAAAUCAGCACCUGCCCUCCUCCCCUCCGCCCUCCAAUCCUCUCCUCUCCCUUUCCUUCUUUCUUCCUCCCGUCUCUCCUGAGGAUUCAACACAUACUCAUCAAUUAUUUUAACUGUUGGACUACUGGAGAUUAGCUUUGCUAUUCUGUGGGGGCUCACAAGCACAUGGAGAUGAGCCCCCAAACUCAUUCGUGUCAGUUCUUGAUAGAAAAUCUCCUGAUCAUCUAGAUCAGUAAAAAUGUGCCUGUGAGUUAUCAGAAUAAUGCAAUUUACAGAGAUGAUUUCGGGUAAGAGUGAGAAGAGAGAAAUCUCUGCAUCAUAUGAACACUGUGACAUGCAAGAAUAUGUUUUCUUGCUUUCUAAAAUUUUCUUUGAUAUAUUUUCGUUAGAAAAGAUCCACCGCACAUUGAUCCAUUUGAAAUAAGACAACAGUUUUCCCACUAUAAUCACUUAUUUCCUAAUAAAUAGUCUAAACAUUUUGCUGAUGCUGUUGCUCCAUCUGUCUGUCAGCUCUCUCCCCUUUAAUAUCUGACAUUUGACCAGUUAAAGUACUUAGGAACAGAUGGGAAUAAUCCCUUCUGUAUUCAGACUCACUCUCGGUUAUGACUUUCGCAUAUAAUGAGACUGCUCCUGGAAUGACAUUUCUGGUUAAAACCCCUGACUUCUAAUAGGAUUGUGCAAAAUAGUUACAAGAAUCAGACUGAAAUUGAAAGUGAAUGAUAUGAUAAUUAUUGGUUAUUUUCAAAGGAAAACAUUUUUUUUUCUAAACUGAUGAUAUUUCUAGGGUUGAGGAACUAGGCAAUAUAUGGUGUCAGAUUCUGAUUAAUUUUAAUCAGAAGAGUGUGCCUUUUAAAAAUGUUAAGAAAUUUUCCAAAGGAGGAAACUCAGGCUGUAACUCCAACUAUCAAUUAUUGCUCCACAAAGAAUUCCUUUGCUCUGGAGCUUAGGAGCAAAUGACAUUUAGUAUAUACUGGAAUGGGGGAGGAAGGGGCAUUGGGUGACUCUCAGAAAGCUACUAUACAAGUGACAGGUUCCUGCACAUUGGCGAGCAGUCGCUCUGAGUGUCAGGACUGUGUCUUGGGAAAAAUUAGCUUCAGUCUUUUGCAUCAUGGAAAAUUUUAUGAACCAAAGUCCUUUUCUUUCCCUUUCUACUUGUUCCCACAUAGUUGGCAUUUUAAAAUUCUUCCAACAGAUUUUUUAAAACCUUAUAUUGUCAUGCUAUGAAAACACACAAACCAAUUUACUGUAUUUUGUACUGUUCUAUUGGCAGAACCUGUAUUUUGUGUCCUUAUCUUUUCACUUCAUUCAGAUUACUUGCUUCCUCAGUUAUGUUUGCACCUAGUGGGAUUGUCCCUAGGAAUAGACAUUCAUUAGAUGAAAGAGACAGUGGUAUUUAUUUGUGAUGCAUACCAUAGGUAAACAAAAUAUAUAGUGUGAGGUUCACUAAAACGUGUUUCCUGGCUAAGUUAUUGCUAACAUAUGGUUAAACUCGUUUGUUGUAAACAUAAGUACCUUAUUUGUAUGUUCUAUAUAAAUUAGUAUCUCAUUAAUUUUACCUUCAGGUGGCAAGAUGCUGUCAUCUAAAACCUGUCUAGACUGUUUAAACUCUGUUUCUAUAGAACCCUAUCUCACCCUGGGCUGUCUCAUUUCUAAGGACACAUUGUGAUAAAAUUACAUCUUGCCCAGAGCUAAUGCUAUUGUGGAUAUAGUAACUGUUUCAUUGCUUGCUUUAAAAGCAAACUGAAAUAAAUGUUAUUAAU
RNAcentral lists this long non-coding RNA (9133 nucleotides) under Lynx pardinus (Iberian lynx). The record is from RNAcentral. Lineage: Eukaryota; Metazoa; Chordata; Mammalia; Carnivora; Felidae.